This is a long non-coding RNA of Megachile rotundata (alfalfa leafcutting bee), 588 nucleotides long. Lineage: Eukaryota; Metazoa; Arthropoda; Insecta; Hymenoptera; Megachilidae. The record is from RefSeq and is a predicted model, not a curated record.
CGUGAGUCUGUACCGUACAUGUGUAUGUCUACUGCGAAGAAACUCGAAGAUUUUCAGAGGGAGGUUAUGUAUACAUUUUAAGGCGCACGCGGGAAAUAUGUAACCCACUAUAGGUGUGAACGUUUGACUCCACGCGUGAUGUCCACGUGUAUAGUAUGCCACAGGGAAACUCGAAGGUCGUGGAACUUGUUGGACACAAUGGAGAAUACGAAUGAAAUUUCCAAUUCGUACGUGGGAGGACAGAAUUGAUAGAAUGUGAACGAGUCAUAAGAAAAGCAAAUUACGUCGCACACGCGAUGCAGGAAAAUUGGAACAAAUAGAGUCAUUGAUUGCAAAAAUUUCAUGAUGGAGCAAUUUUCCGGGUACAGUGCGUACAGCAGGAAAAAUGUUUUCGUCCUGAUGCUGCCGCGCAUAAUAUGAAACAUCAACCGGAUGUCGCCAUCGUGGAACAAUAAAAAACGAACAAAGUAAAUGUAAAAUAACGAUGUUAAACACGGAGCUGUGUAACAAAGUGCUCAUAGACAAUAGUUGUAAGCAUUUAGAAUAUAAAGAAGAAAGAUGUCUGUUGAUAAAACAGUAAUUGUCGUC